UGACCUCGAUCAGUAGAU
Molecule: ribosomal RNA, 18 nt
Filed under: Laburnicola muriformis
Lineage: Eukaryota; Fungi; Ascomycota; Dothideomycetes; Pleosporales; Didymosphaeriaceae
Also listed under: 1 other name
Description: partial 28S ribosomal RNA
Source: RNAcentral